This 252-nucleotide ribosomal RNA is filed under the name uncultured prokaryote. Its description in RNAcentral is "partial 16S ribosomal RNA". It matches the Rfam family "Bacterial small subunit ribosomal RNA", at positions 525 to 777 of the family's 1533-position model. The record is from RNAcentral.
ACAGAGGUCCCAAGCGUUGUUCGGAUUCACUGGGCGUAAAGGGUGCGUAGGCGGUCGGGUAAGUCUGAUGUGAAAGCUCGGAGCUCAACUCCGAAUGGCAUCGGAUACUAUUCGGCUAGAGGAAUGGAGGGGAGACUGGAAUACUUGGUGUAGCAGUGAAAUGCGUAGAUAUCAGGAGGAACACCGAUGGCGAAGGCAAUCCCCUGGGCCUGCACUGACGCUCAUGCACGAAAGCGUGGGGAGCAAACAGGA